RNAcentral lists this ribosomal RNA (253 nucleotides) under uncultured bacterium. Its description in RNAcentral is "partial 16S ribosomal RNA". It matches the Rfam family "Bacterial small subunit ribosomal RNA", at positions 524 to 776 of the family's 1533-position model. The record is from RNAcentral.
UACGAAGGGGGCUAGCGUUGUUCGGAAUCACUGGGCGUAAAGGGCGCGUAGGCGGUGUGUCAAGUCAGGCGUGAAAGCCCCGGGCUCAACCUGGGAACCGCGCUUGAGACUGGCACGCUCGAGUUCGGGAGAGGAUGGUGGAAUUCCCAGUGUAGAGGUGAAAUGCGUAGAUAUCUGGAGGAAUACCGGUGGCGAAGGCGGCAUCCUGGACCGGCAUUGACGCUGAGGAGCGAAAGCCAGGUGAGCAAACGGG